RNAcentral lists this ribosomal RNA (252 nucleotides) under uncultured bacterium. RNAcentral describes it as "partial 16S ribosomal RNA". It matches the Rfam family "Bacterial small subunit ribosomal RNA", at positions 524 to 776 of the family's 1533-position model. The record is from RNAcentral.
UACGUAGGGGGCUAGCGUUAUCCGGAAUUACUGGGCGUAAAGGGUGCGUAGGUGGUUUCUUAAGUCAGAGGUGAAAGGCUACGGCUCAACCGUAGUAAGCCUUUGAAACUGGGGAACUUGAGUGCAGAGGAGGAGAGUGGAAUUCCUAGUGUAGCGGUGAAAUGCGUAGAUAUUAGGAGGAACACCAGUUGCGAAGGCGGCUCUCUGGACUGUAACUGACACUGAGGCACGAAAGCGUGGGGGGCAAACAGG